CACGCCCUAAACGAUGUCAACUAGCUGUUGGGGCCAAUAGGCCUUAGUAGCGCAGCUAACGCGUGAAGUUGACCGCCUGGGGAGUACGGUCGCAAGAUUAAAACUCAAAGGAAUUGACGGGGACCCGCACAAGCGGUGGAUGAUGUGGAUUAAUUCGAUGCAACGCGAAAAACCUUACCUACGCUUGACAUGUCUGGAAGAUCUAAGAGAUUGGAUUGUGCCCGCAAGGGAACCGGAACACAGGUGC
This 247-nucleotide ribosomal RNA is filed under the name uncultured Paenalcaligenes sp. RNAcentral's name for it is "partial 16S ribosomal RNA". It matches the Rfam family "Bacterial small subunit ribosomal RNA", at positions 796 to 1041 of the family's 1533-position model. Lineage: Bacteria; Pseudomonadati; Pseudomonadota; Betaproteobacteria; Burkholderiales; Alcaligenaceae. The record is from RNAcentral.